GCGAGUAUCAUAUAGAGGCUUAAUAUGCUGUCCUUCCAAGUCGGUCACAUCGGUUCGAAUCCGAUUACUCGCUC
RNAcentral lists this transfer RNA (74 nucleotides) under Xanthomonas phage XbC2. Its description in RNAcentral is "tRNA-Gly". It matches the Rfam family "tRNA". Rfam says of the family: Transfer RNA (tRNA) molecules are approximately 80 nucleotides in length. Their secondary structure includes four short double-helical elements and three loops (D, anti-codon, and T loops). Lineage: Duplodnaviria; Heunggongvirae; Uroviricota; Caudoviricetes. The record is from RNAcentral. RNAcentral also lists the same sequence under 1 other name.